CCUACGGGGAGCAGCAGUGAGGAAUAUUGGUCAAUGGACGAGAGUCUGAACCAGCCAAGUAGCGUGAAGGAUGACUGCCCUAUGGGUUGUAAACUUCUUUUAUAUGGGAAUAAAAUGUUCCACGUGUGGGAUUUUGUAUGUACCAUAUGAAUAAGGAUCGGCUAACUCCGUGCCAGCAGCCGCGGUAAUACGGAGGAUCCGAGCGUUAUCCGGAUUUAUUGGGUUUAAAGGGAGCGUAGGUGGAUUGUUAAGUCAGUUGUGAAAGUUUGCGGCUCAACCGUAAAAUUGCAGUUGAAACUGGCAGUCUUGAGUACAGUAGAGGUGGGCGGAAUUCGUGGGGUAGCGGUGAAAUGCUUAGAUAUCACGAAGAACUCCGAUUGCGAAGGCAGUUCACUGGACUGCAACUGACACUGAGGCUCGAAAGUGUGGGUAUCAAACAGGAUUAGAUACCCCAGUAGUC
Molecule: ribosomal RNA, 460 nt
Filed under: uncultured bacterium
Lineage: Bacteria
Description: partial 16S ribosomal RNA
Rfam family: Bacterial small subunit ribosomal RNA
Source: RNAcentral